ACGCGCUUGGGGAAGUCCUCGACGUGCUUUUCGCUGACGUAGCCCGCCGCCAUUUCUGCCGUCAUCCGCGGCGGCCAAUUACCUGGCGGUACAAGGGCUGCGCGAC
RNAcentral lists this small RNA (106 nucleotides) under Sinorhizobium meliloti 2011. RNAcentral describes it as "putative ncRNA". The record is from RNAcentral. Lineage: Bacteria; Pseudomonadati; Pseudomonadota; Alphaproteobacteria; Hyphomicrobiales; Rhizobiaceae.